AGUGAACGCUGGCGGUAGGCCUAACACAUGCAAGUCGAACGGCAGCACAGUAAGAGCUUGCUCUUACGGGUGGCGAGUGGCGGACGGGUGAGGAAUACAUCGGAAUCUACUUUUUCGUGGGGGAUAACGUAGGGAAACUUACGCUAAUACCGCAUACGACCUACGGGUGAAAGCAGGGGAUCUUCGGACCUUGCGCGAUUGAAUGAGCCGAUGUCGGAUUAGCUAGUUGGCGGGGUAAAGGCCCACCAAGGCGACGAUCCGUAGCUGGUCUGAGAGGAUGGUCAGCCACACUGGAACUGAGACACGGUCCAGACUCCUACGGGAGGCAGCAGUGGGGAAUAGUGGACAAUGGGGGCAAGCCUGAUCCAGCCAUACCGCGUGGGUGAAGAAGGCCUUCGGGUUGUAAAGCCCUUUUGUUGGGAAAGAAAAGCAGCAGGUUAAUACCCCGCUGUUCUGACGGUACCCAAAGAAUAAGCACCGGCUAACUUCGUG
This 492-nucleotide ribosomal RNA is filed under the name uncultured bacterium. RNAcentral describes it as "partial 16S ribosomal RNA". It matches the Rfam family "Bacterial small subunit ribosomal RNA", at positions 29 to 507 of the family's 1533-position model. The record is from RNAcentral.